GACGAACGCUGGCGGCGUGCUUAACACAUGCAAGUCGAACGGAAAGGCCCUGCUUUUGUGGGGUGCUCGAGUGGCGAACGGGUGAGUAACACGUGAGUAACCUGCCCUUGACUUUGGGAUAACUUCAGGAAACUGGGGCUAAUACCGGAUAGGAGCUCCUGCUGCAUGGUGGGGGUUGGAAAGUUUCGGCGGUUGGGGAUGGACUCGCGGCUUAUCAGCUUGUUGGUGGGGUAGUGGCUUACCAAGGCUUUGACGGGUAGUCGGCCUGAGAGGGUGACCGGCCACAUUGGGACUGAGCUACGGCCCAGACUCCUACGGGAGGCAGCAGUGGGGAAUAUUGCCCUAUGGGCGGAAGCCUGAUGCAGCAACGCCGCGUGCGGGAUGACGGCCUUCGCGUUGUAAACCGCUUUCGCCUGUGACGAAGCGUGAGUGACGGUACUGGGUAAAGAAGCACCGGCUAACUACGUG
Molecule: ribosomal RNA, 468 nt
Filed under: uncultured bacterium
Lineage: Bacteria
Description: partial 16S ribosomal RNA
Rfam family: Bacterial small subunit ribosomal RNA
Source: RNAcentral